Molecule: long non-coding RNA, 2244 nt
Organism: Xenopus laevis (African clawed frog)
Lineage: Eukaryota; Metazoa; Chordata; Amphibia; Anura; Pipidae
Exons: 5
Source: RefSeq, a predicted model, not a curated record
GAUGGACGUGUGUCUUUUUUCAACCUUACUUACUAUGUUACUAUGUUACUAUGUAAAAGUAGAAGAUGGCUCUUGUGUAUUAAAAAGGAAAGGUUGACUCCCUAGCAAAGUAUUCCUCAAACAACACCAGUGAUGUUGCUACAGCUUGAACAUUUUAACACUGGAAUAUAAUUAAUGCAAAAGUUUGAUUUCUUUUUUAAAAAUAAAUUGUAUUGUGAUCUGAAAUAAGUUCAUGUGUUAACAGGAUCCCAAAAAAUGUGAGGUAUCCACUACUGUUCUGUAAAAUGGACUGACACAAUAUGAAGAUAAAAAACUGGCUGAUAAAAUAAAAAAGCGAGUAGGAAAUUCCAAGUAUCAAGAUCACUCUACAAGAAUGUGGUUUUACCGAAUUCUCAAGGAACGGAGGAACUGGAAGGCGAAGAAAGCAAAAGCAAACACAAAUUUAAAGUAAAAGAAUUAUACCUGACAGAGCUUCUGUCCACUAAGGUUGCAAUUCAUUCAACUGUAGAAAGGCUGUUACGGAGCAUUUGGACCAUACCAGCCAGCAAGCCACCAAUAGCUGUCAAAUAUUUCUUUGAUUUCAUGGAGACCCAGGCAGAGAGCAAGAAAAUAACCGACCCAGAUGUGUUGCACAUUUGGAAAACUAAUAGCUUACCGCUUCGUUUCUGGGUGAAUAUCCUGCAGAACCCUCAGUUUGUGUCUGGCCUAAAGAAGACACAUCUCUUGGAAAGCUAUCAGUCAUUGCACAGGCAUUCGUGGAUAGCUUUUCCACUACAGAGCAACAACUAGGAAAGGUCCUGGGUAUUUUGGAAAAAGAGCCUGGAUUUGAAGAUGAACAAAAGCAGCUCCUGCAUAUUAAAGCAUUAAUGGGAGAUAAAAAGAAAUGCAUGUGGAACUGAGAGAAAAAAAAGAUUAAGUACAGAAUAAUGAAUUGAGUGGGUUUGCCUAGGCUUACGUGAAAUUAUUUCCAUGGCAUGAUAUAGACAGCCUGUGUUACAUUUUAUCUCCACGGUCCCUAUAUGGGGUUUUACAUUUACCUCAAACGUAGAUAGAUCUCAUUAGGGAUGGACACUCAGUGGAUGCAUGUAUACUUUUUUUUUUUAUAUUUAUGGGCUUAUUUAUCAAAAAUCGAAUUUGUGAGGUUUCAGAGUAUUUUUUCUAUUUCAAACAAACUCACAAUUCAAAAAGCUCGAAAGUCUUAUUUAUUAAACAAUCCAAAUAUAAAAACCCAAUUUAAUACAAUUGAAAAAAACAUGAAUGUGAGUUUACAAGCUCAAAAAAAUAAGAAAAUUACAAAUUAAAAAAAAAACUUGAAUUUUGCCUAGUUCAAUUCCCACUGACGUUUCGCUUUUAGAUACCGAAGUUUUACAUUUGAGUUUUUUGUGCUUAAAUAUCAAAAUUCAAGUUUUUGAGGAUAUAAAUCAAAUUUGUGAGUUUUUGCUCAAAAAUUUUUGAAUCAUGCCAAAAAUUCUAAUUUAAACAUCGAUAAAUCACCCCCAAAAUGUUACCACUUUUAAAAGGAAUUUCUCCCUGAAAAAAAACUGAUGUCCGAGAUACUUUCUACAAAAGCUAUACAGUUUAGCAAGUGGGACCAUUGUUUCAGGACUUUCAGUUGCUUGUAUGUGAACAUCUUUUAACCACAGCACCAAAAUGAUGGCGAGUCCUAACUGCUAUUUACAAAUAUGUAGGUGAAUGAGGUUCUAGUAAACUAUCAUUUGUACUUAAUAUAUUUAUAGAGAACGCAAGUUAAAUGACUAUACCUUGGUCAAACAUUUUUUAAAUCUGUAUGUAUAAAUAACUUUUUUAAAUUUAAUUUUAUAUAGUCUAAAUAAAACUACAUUGGAGUGGAUUACAUUCUGUUAUUUUAAGUAUUGAUACGGACAGAUCAUUGACUGUAAAGAUCUCUGUGAAACUAUGCCCCAAUACCAAAUGUUGGUAAGAAAUAGAGGUUUCAUAAACUGCAAACAUUUGUAGGAGAGAAAGGCCCUAUAUUAACGGACGGGGUGAAACUAGAACUUGUAUGUAAUACAUGUAUAGUAUAAUAUGUUGUUAGGGAUUCAUUUAUUGAAGGGAUCCCAUAUCAGUGAACAGAGAGUAGCAGAAUAUCACAUUGGCUCUGGUUUCAUUAAAGUGUAGGGAUUCCAAUGCAAUACAAAUGUUUUUUUAAAAUGAUUUUUUAAGUUUUAUUAUUUUCACAUAAUGUGCUGAGUAUUUAGAAUUACAUAAAUAUAACAAAGAACGAAA